UCAGGAUGAACGCUAGCUACAGGCUUAACACAUGCAAGUCGAGGGGAAACGAUAGAGAAAGCUUGCUUUUUCUAGGCGUCGACCGGCGCACGGGUGAGUAACGCGUAUCCAACCUGCCCAUCACUUGGGGAUAACCUUGCGAAAGUAAGACUAAUACCCAAUGAUAUCUCUAGAAGACAUCUGAAAGAGAUUAAAGAUUUAUCGGUGAUGGAUGGGGAUGCGUCUGAUUAGCUUGUUGGCGGGGUAACGGCCCACCAAGGCGACGAUCAGUAGGGGUUCUGAGAGGAAGGUCCCCCACAUUGGAACUGAGACACGGUCCAAACUCCUACGGGAGGCAGCAGUGAGGAAUACUGGUCAAUGGACGAGAGUCUGAACCAGCCAAGUAGCGUGCAGGAUGACGGCCCUAUGGGUUGUAAACUGCUUUUAUAAGGGAAUAAAGUGAGUCUCGUGAGACUUUUUGCAUGUACCUUAUGAAUAAGGACCGGCUAAUUCCGUGCCAGCAGCCGCGGUAAUACGGAAGGUCCGGGCGUUAUCCGGAUUUAUUGGGUUUAAAGGGAGCGUAGGCCGGAGAUUAAGCGUGUUGUGAAAUGUAGACGCUCAACGUCUGCACUGCAGCGCGAACUGGUUUCCUUGAGUACGCACAAAGUGGGCGGAAUUCGUGGUGUAGCGGUGAAAUGCUUAGAUAUCACGAAGAACUCCGAUUGCGAAGGCAGCUCACUGGAGCGCAACUGACGCUGAAGCUCGAAAGUGCGGGUAUCGAACAGGAUUAGAUACCCUGGUAGUCCGCACGGUAAACGAUGGAUGCCCGCUGUUGGUCUGAAUAGGUCAGCGGCCAAGCGAAAGCAUUAAGCAUCCCACCUGGGGAGUACGCCGGCAACGGUGAAACUCAAAGGAAUUGACG
Molecule: ribosomal RNA, 901 nt
Filed under: uncultured bacterium
Lineage: Bacteria
Description: bacterial SSU rRNA
Rfam family: Bacterial small subunit ribosomal RNA
Source: RNAcentral